AAAUCACUCAUAUUGAAUAACUGCUGGGGGAAACCAAAGCUUAUGCAUACAUGAAAUGAUUAAUCGUGAGAUCGUGAAAAGCAUGUAGAAUCUGGUGUCAUCCCUACACGGGGUUGGAGAGGAUAAUACACCCCCCUGACGUGCCCCGUUACCGGCAUGAAGAGAAAUGACACUUCUGCAAUCUGCCGGCUCCGACAGGUUCGACUCACAGCGUCGUUCAGGUGUACAAAGGACCGACGGAAGGAAGAAACACUUGAGCGGGAUGAAAGAAACAGAGGAAAACGGGGCCAUUUGGGAUGAAAAAAGUCACGGUCCGGUGAUGUCACCCGCAAUAAAACCGCUGUGCAACCUCGAGGAGUCGUGACCUUCUGCCGCCGACGCUUGGAGGUCACACGACUUCAACACCAUCGCGUGUACAAAAGAUAAGACACAAAGAGGAGCGGCUACAGUGUAUAAUGUGUUUGGCGCCUUUAUGAUGCUUUUUUACCAUUUCAAAAGAGACGUCUUCGUCUUCGUGAGCGGGAGGCGUGACCUGCAGUAAGAUCCACCACACCACCGUUCCUUUCACCCGAUGUGUUUCCACAGACUCAUGGAGAAAUGUUGGACUUUGCAAGUGUGGUGUUUUAAACUGAUGUUCCAAAGUCAUUUCAAUGUACGUGAAUGACAAUGACCAAU
This is a long non-coding RNA of Gasterosteus aculeatus aculeatus (three-spined stickleback), 675 nucleotides long. Lineage: Eukaryota; Metazoa; Chordata; Actinopteri; Perciformes; Gasterosteidae. The record is from Ensembl.